RNAcentral lists this transfer RNA (74 nucleotides) under Candidatus Vogelbacteria bacterium GWA1_51_14. RNAcentral describes it as "tRNA-Ala". It matches the Rfam family "tRNA". Rfam says of the family: Transfer RNA (tRNA) molecules are approximately 80 nucleotides in length. Their secondary structure includes four short double-helical elements and three loops (D, anti-codon, and T loops). RNAcentral also lists the same sequence under 1 other name. Lineage: Bacteria; Candidatus Vogeliibacteriota. The record is from RNAcentral.
GGGCCUAUAGUCUAGUGGUACGACGCUACAUUCGCAUUGUAGAGGCGCGAGUUCGAUUCUCGCUAGGUCCACCA